GGGACUCCCGAGUGCGAGGGCAUACAGUCCUCGCUUUUUCUGUACCGUAGGGUGGUACAGGAACAAGUGCUGGGCAAGACCGGUGCCAGCCGCCGCGGUAAUACCGGCAGCACGAGUGAUGGCCGAUAUUAUUGGGCCUAAAGCGUCCGUAGCCGGCCAGACAAGUCCGUUGGGAAAUCGACGUGCCUAACACGUCGGCGUCCAGCGGAAACUGUCUGGCUUGGGGCCGGAAGACUCGAGGGGUACGUCCGGGGUAGGAGUGAAAUCCCGUAAUCCUGGACGGACCGCCGGUGGCGAAAGCGCCUCGAGAGGACGGACCCGACGGUCAGGGACGAAAGCUAGGGUCUCGAACCGGAUUAGAUACCCGGGUAGUCCUAGCUGUAAACGAUGCUCGCUAGGUGUGGCGCAGGCUACGAGCCUGCGCUGUGCCGUAGGGAAGCCGUGAAGCGAGCCGCCUGGGAAGUACGUCUGCAAGGAUGAAACUUAAAGGAAUUGGCGGGGGAGCACUACAACCGGAGGAGCCUGCGGUUUAAUUGGACUCAACGCCGGACAUCUCACCAGCACCGACAAUGUGCAGUGAAGGUCAGUCUGAUGCGCUUACUGGAGCCAUUGAGAGGAGGUGCAUGGCCGCCGUCAGCUCGUACCGUGAGGCGUCCUGUUAAGUCAGGCAACGAGCGAGACCCGCACUCCUAGUUGCCAGCAACACCGCGAGGUGGUUGGGUACACUAGGAGGACUGCCGCUGCUAAAGCGGAGGAAGGAACGGGCAACGGUAGGUCAGUAUGCCCCGAAUGUGCUGGGCAACACGCGGGCUACAAUGGCCGGGACAAUGGGAUGCCAUCUCGAGAGAGAGCGCUAAUCCCCUAAACCCGGUCGUAGUUCGGAUUGAGGGCUGAAACCCGCCCUCAUGAAGCUGGAUUCGGUAGUAAUCGUGUGUCAGAAGCGCACGGUGAAUACGUCCCUGCUCCUUGCACACACCGCCCGUCAAAGCACCCGAGUGGGGUCCGGAUGAGGCCAUCAUGCGAUGGUCAAUCU
RNAcentral lists this ribosomal RNA (1033 nucleotides) under uncultured archaeon. RNAcentral describes it as "bacterial SSU rRNA". It matches the Rfam family "Archaeal small subunit ribosomal RNA", at positions 374 to 1410 of the family's 1478-position model. The record is from RNAcentral.